This 538-nucleotide ribosomal RNA is filed under the name uncultured bacterium. Its description in RNAcentral is "bacterial SSU rRNA". It matches the Rfam family "Bacterial small subunit ribosomal RNA", at positions 777 to 1320 of the family's 1533-position model. The record is from RNAcentral.
AAUAGAUACCCUGGUAGUCCACGCCGUAAACGAUGGAUACUAGCUGUUUGACCGCAAGGUUGAGUGGCUAAGCGAAAGUGAUAAGUAUCCCACCUGGGGAGUACGAACGCAAGUUUGAAACUCAAAGGAAUUGACGGGGGCCCGCACAAGCGGUGGAGCAUGUGGUUUAAUUCGAUGAUGCGCGAGGAACCUUACCAGGGCUUAAAUGUAGUUUGACGUAUUUGGAAACAGAUAUUUCUUCGGACAAAUUACAAGGUGCUGCAUGGUUGUCGUCAGCUCGUGCCGUGAGGUGUCAGGUUAAGUCCUAUAACGAGCGCAACCCCUGUUGUUAGUUGCCAGCGAGUAAUGUCGGGAACUCUAACAAGACUGCCAGUGUAAACUGCGAGGAAGGUGGGGAUGACGUCAAAUCAUCACGGCCCUUACGUCCUGGGCCACACACGUGCUACAAUGGACGGUACAGACGAGCAGCCACUUAGCAAUAAGGAGCGAAUCUAUAAAACCGUUCUCAGUUCGGAUCGGAGUCUGCAACUCGACUCCG